UCAGCAAUGGCUGUGGUGUUGCUCAGCAUACACACAGCUCUCUGGACCUUGGCCAGGUCGCCACCAGGGACCACAGUGGGAGGCUGGUAAUUAAUGCCAACCUUGAAGCCAGUGGGGCACCAGUCCACAAACUGGAUGGUACGCUUGGUCUUGAUGGUGGCAAUGGCAGCAUUGACAUCUUUGGGGACCACAUCACCACGGUACAGCAGGCAGCAAGCCAUGUAUUUACCAUGGCGAGGGUCACAUUUCACCAUCUGGUUGGCUGGCUCAAAGCAGGCAUUGGUGAUCUCUGCUACAGAAAGCUGUUCAUGGUAGGCUUUCUCAGCAGAGAUGACAGGGGCAUAAGUGGCCAGAGGGAAGUGGAUGCGAGGGUAGGGCACCAGGUUGGUCUGGAAUUCUGUCAGAUCAACAUUCAGGGCCCCAUCAAAUCUGAGGGAAGCAGUGAUGGAAGACACAAUUUGACCUAUCAACCUGUUUAAGUUAGUGUAGGUUGGGCGCUCAAUGUCGAGGUUUCUACGACAGAUGUCAUAGAUGGCCUCAUUGUCUACCAUGAAGG
This 556-nucleotide long non-coding RNA is filed under the name Rattus norvegicus (Norway rat). RNAcentral's name for it is "long non-coding RNA NONRATT030711". Lineage: Eukaryota; Metazoa; Chordata; Mammalia; Rodentia; Muridae. The record is from RNAcentral.